This 518-nucleotide unclassified non-coding RNA is filed under the name uncultured Glomus. RNAcentral describes it as "SSU rRNA". It matches the Rfam family "Eukaryotic small subunit ribosomal RNA", at positions 569 to 1089 of the family's 1831-position model. Lineage: Eukaryota; Fungi; Glomeromycota; Glomeromycetes; Glomerales; Glomeraceae. The record is from RNAcentral.
AGCAGCCGCGGUAAUUCCAGCUCCAAUAGCGUAUAUUAAAGUUGUUGCAGUUAAAAGCUCGUAGUUGAAUUUCGGGAUCAAUUAAUUGGUCGUGCCUCUGGUACGUACUGAUUUUAUUGGUUUCUCCCUUCUGACGAACCAUGAUGUCAUUAAUUUGGUGUCGUGGAGAAUCAGGACUGUUACUUUGAAAAAAUUAGAGUGUUUAAAGCAAGCUAACGCUUGAAUACAUUAGCAUGGAAUAAUGAAAUAGGACGUUUGAUCCUAUUUUGUUGGUUUCUAGGAUCGACGUAAUGAUUAAUAGGGAUAGUUGGGGGCAUUAGUAUUCAAUUGUCAGAGGUGAAAUUCUUGGAUUUAUUGAAGACUAACUACUGCGAAAGCAUUUGCCAAGGAUGUUUUCAUUAAUCAAGAACGAAAGUUAGGGAUCGAAGACGAUCAGAUACCGUCGUAGUCUUAACCAUAAACUAUGCCGACUAGGGAUCGGAUGAUGUUAAUUUUUUAAUGUACUCAUUCGGCGUCCG